UACGGAGGGUGCGAGCGUUGUCCGGAAUCAUUGGGCGUAAAGGGCGCGUAGGUGGCGGGACAAGCGUGCGGUGAAAGCUCGGGGCUCAACCCCGAGUCGGCCGUGCGAACUGUUUUGCUUGAGCACUGUAGAGGCAGGCGGAAUUCCGGGUGUAGCGGUGGAAUGCGUAGAGAUCCGGAAGAACACCGGUGGCGAAGGCGGCCUGCUGGGCAGUGGCUGACACUGAGGCGCGACAGCGUGGGGAGCAAACAGG
This 253-nucleotide ribosomal RNA is filed under the name uncultured bacterium. RNAcentral describes it as "partial 16S ribosomal RNA". It matches the Rfam family "Bacterial small subunit ribosomal RNA", at positions 524 to 776 of the family's 1533-position model. The record is from RNAcentral.